AAAUUGAAGAGUUUGAUCAUGGCUCAGAUUGAACGCUGGCGGCAGGCCUAACACAUGCAAGUCGAGCGGUAACACAGAGAGCUUGCUCUCGGGUGACGAGCGGCGGACGGGUGAGUAAUGUCUGGGAAACUGCCUGAUGGAGGGGGAUAACUACUGGAAACGGUAGCUAAUACCGCAUAACGUCGCAAGACCAAAGUGGGGGACCUUCGGGCCUCAUGCCAUCAGAUGUGCCCAGAUGGGAUUAGCUAGUAGGUGGGGUAACGGCUCACCUAGGCGACGAUCCCUAGCUGGUCUGAGAGGAUGACCAGCCACACUGGAACUGAGACACGGUCCAGACUCCUACGGGAGGCAGCAGUGGGGAAUAUUGCACAAUGGGCGCAAGCCUGAUGCAGCCAUGCCGCGUGUGUGAAGAAGGCCUUCGGGUUGUAAAGCACUUUCAGCGGGGAGGAAGGCGAUAAGGUUAAUAACCUUGUCGAUUGACGUUACCCGCAGAAGAAGCACCGGCUAACUCCGUGCCAGCAGCCGCGGUAAUACGGAGGGUGCAAGCGUUAAUCGGAAUUACUGGGCGUAAAGCGCACGCAGGCGGUCUGUCAAGUCGGAUGUGAAAUCCCCGGGCUCAACCUGGGAACUGCAUUCGAAACUGGCAGGCUAGAGUCUUGUAGAGGGGGGUAGAAUUCCAGGUGUAGCGGUGAAAUGCGUAGAGAUCUGGAGGAAUACCGGUGGCGAAGGCGGCCCCCUGGACAAAGACUGACGCUCAGGUGCGAAAGCGUGGGGAGCAAACAGGAUUAGAUACCCUGGUAGUCCACGCCGUAAACGAUGUCGAUUUGGAGGUUGUGCCCUUGAGGCGUGGCUUCCGGAGCUAACGCGUUAAAUCGACCGCCUGGGGAGUACGGCCGCAAGGUUAAAACUCAAAUGAAUUGACGGGGGCCCGCACAAGCGGUGGAGCAUGUGGUUUAAUUCGAUGCAACGCGAAGAACCUUACCUGGUCUUGACAUCCACAGAACUUAGCAGAGAUGCUUUGGUGCCUUCGGGAACUGUGAGACAGGUGCUGCAUGGCUGUCGUCAGCUCGUGUUGUGAAAUGUUGGGUUAAGUCCCGCAACGAGCGCAACCCUUAUCCUUUGUUGCCAGCGGUUAGGCCGGGAACUCAAAGGAGACUGCCAGUGAUAAACUGGAGGAAGGUGGGGAUGACGUCAAGUCAUCAUGGCCCUUACGACCAGGGCUACACACGUGCUACAAUGGCAUAUACAAAGAGAAGCGACCUCGCGAGAGCAAGCGGACCUCAUAAAGUAUGUCGUAGUCCGGAUUGGAGUCUGCAACUCGACUCCAUGAAGUCGGAAUCGCUAGUAAUCGUAGAUCAGAAUGCUACGGUGAAUACGUUCCCGGGCCUUGUACACACCGCCCGUCACACCAUGGGAGUGGGUUGCAAAAGAAGUAGGUAGCUUAACCUUCGGGAGGGCGCUUACCACUUUGUGAUUCAUGACUGGGGUGAAGUCGUAACAAGGUAACCGUAGGGGAACCUGCGGUUGGAUCACCUCCUUA
Molecule: ribosomal RNA, 1540 nt
Filed under: Klebsiella pneumoniae
Lineage: Bacteria; Pseudomonadati; Pseudomonadota; Gammaproteobacteria; Enterobacterales; Enterobacteriaceae
Description: bacterial SSU rRNA
Rfam family: Bacterial small subunit ribosomal RNA
Source: RNAcentral